RNA transcript from Erigeron canadensis, 1013 nucleotides. RefSeq lists it as uncharacterized. The transcript has 3 exons. The record is from RefSeq and is a predicted model, not a curated record. NCBI's taxonomy places the organism in Eukaryota, Viridiplantae, Streptophyta, Magnoliopsida, Asterales, Asteraceae.
UAAUGUUUCUGUUUCCCCGUGACGAUUCAUAUUCCCUUUAAAAGUUCGAUCGAUCGAGGCAUUUCAUUUGCUCACUUUUACACUUCAUAAUCUACACAUUCCUCAUUUGAAUUUGCUCACUUUUACACUUCAUAAUGUUUCUGUUUUCAUUUAUUCAAACUCAUUCGGUCGUUUUUGGAUAUAAAGUAUAGUAAGUAUAGAUAUUACUGAUAAGUGUUUUUAUUAUUUUAGAUGGAUUGUUUGGAGGAAAUUUUCUUAAAUCCAAAUGCGCCGGAAGGUGUAAAUGACGAGUUUGUGUACGAAGAGCCCGAUGACGAAUUUGAAUCCCCAGAUGUCCGUGCUGAAUUUGAUUACGAUCACGAUGUUUUUUAUACCAAGGAGGUGUUUGACACACACAUAGAUUUGGUAGACUGGGCUCAAAGAACGGCAAAGGAGCUUGGUUAUGUGUUAGUAACACGAAGAUCAAAUGCCACAAAAGGCGGAGAAGUUAAAAAGGUGGUCCUUAUUUGCAACCGUGGUGAAAAAAAGAUAAGCGGUCAACCGGGGCACCCAAAGGGAGUACCAAAAUUGACUGUCCAUUCAAAUUGGUAGGCCGUCUGACAAAGGACCAUAGUUGGUGGGUUGAAGUUAUAGAUCACCGACAUAACCAUCCAUCAGCUCGUAAUUUGGAAGGUAUUGCGUACGCAAGACGACUAACCGAUGUUCAAAAAGAAUUUGUGGACGAAAAGGCGUUGCUAGGUUUUGGGCCAAAUAGCAUAAGGGACCAAUUGAAGGAUGCAUUUCCCGGCAUCUUGACCCGUUCACAAGACAUUUCUAACUACCUGCGGCAACACCGGCUAAAGCACGCCCAACAACGAGGGGAAACUCGAAUGCAGAUCGUGCUCCAAUUACUAUCUGACCAUCAGUACACGUAUCAGUACACGACGGAUAGCAAAACCGGAUGUUUGACCAAUCUCUUUUUCGUACAUCCUACAUCACUUGACAUAUGGCGUGCAUUUCCUUGGAUCAUUGAA